CGGGAUGUGGCUCAGCUUGGCAGAGCACCUGGUUUGGGACCAGGGGGUCGCAGGUUCGAAUCCUGUCAUCCCGACCA
RNAcentral lists this transfer RNA (77 nucleotides) under Thermoactinomyces intermedius. RNAcentral describes it as "tRNA-Pro". It matches the Rfam family "tRNA". Rfam says of the family: Transfer RNA (tRNA) molecules are approximately 80 nucleotides in length. Their secondary structure includes four short double-helical elements and three loops (D, anti-codon, and T loops). Lineage: Bacteria; Bacillati; Bacillota; Bacilli; Caryophanales; Thermoactinomycetaceae. RNAcentral also lists the same sequence under 10 other names. The record is from RNAcentral.